AACUUUUGGCAAUGGAUCACUUGGUUCUGGCAUCGAUGAAGAACGCAGCGAAAUGCGAUAAGUAAUGUGAAUUGCAGAAUUCAGCGAAUCAUCGAAUUUUUGAACGCACAUUGCGCCUAAGAGUAUUCUUUUAGGCAUACCUGUUCGAGCGUCGUUUAAUAUUAUAAGGUUUUACCUUGCGUUGAUGAUAUGGAGUUUAAUCCAAUUAUCUAAACAUUUUGGCAAUUGAUAAUGGCCGAUUCGCAGCAAAAUGCGUAUGAAAACUAUUAAAGAUUUGCCAGUUUAUUUAUAUGAUUAUGAAUUUUAUUGUUGAUUUUUAUCAUUGUUGUUAUUAUUACUAUAUCAUCAUUAAAUUAUAUCAUCAUUAUUAUAUCAUAAUUAAUAUAUAUAUAUACAAAACUUCGACCUCGGAUCAGGUAAGAUUACCCGCUGAACUUAAGCAUAUCAAUAAGCGGAGGCU
RNAcentral lists this unclassified non-coding RNA (460 nucleotides) under uncultured Ascomycota. RNAcentral's name for it is "sequence contains ITS2". The stretch from base 1 to 154 matches the Rfam family "5.8S ribosomal RNA". Lineage: Eukaryota; Fungi; Ascomycota. The record is from RNAcentral.